Long non-coding RNA from Gossypium arboreum, 547 nucleotides. RefSeq lists it as uncharacterized. Lineage: Eukaryota; Viridiplantae; Streptophyta; Magnoliopsida; Malvales; Malvaceae. The transcript is spliced from 2 exons. The record is from RefSeq and is a predicted model, not a curated record.
CCAGCCCCUAUUUUGAAAAGCAAAAAAAAAAAACAGAGAGUUUCUUGGCUCUCUCUCCCUCAUUUCCCCUUUUGCUAGGGUUUAUACCUAUCAUUGCCGCCGCCAUGGAGCCACCGUAGGUGGUGGUCGGGGUUGCUUGAAUGGGGGCUUUUGACCCCGAUUUUGGGGGCGCCUGAAGGCCCUAUUUUCUUAGCCCGAAAAUCUGAAGGGAGAGACCCCCAUUUUCCUUUUUGAGAGCCGAUUUCAACGACGGAGUAGGGCUCCGAUGUCGCGGCUCCGAAGUUCAGGGUAUGGAGGAGUUGGUGGGAGUGUGUGAUGCCUGGGAAUGGUGCUGCAGAGGCAUGGGGUGGCAAACAUCACGGGGUGGCCAGGGUUCUUUUUUUCUUUGCUAUUUUUUAUUAUUGGUCUGGGCUAGGGUUAGUAGUUUGGGUUGUUUUGUAUUGGGUUUUAAGGGGUUUGAAUAAUUGGGUUGUAUUUGGGCCAAAAUUGGUCUACAACAGAAGCUUUUUGAUAGAUUUUUAAAUCCCAUUAUUUUUUUUCACGUAAA